RNAcentral lists this ribosomal RNA (404 nucleotides) under uncultured bacterium. RNAcentral's name for it is "partial 16S ribosomal RNA". It matches the Rfam family "Bacterial small subunit ribosomal RNA", at positions 28 to 526 of the family's 1533-position model. The record is from RNAcentral.
GACGAACGCUGGCGGCGUGCUUAACACAUGCAAGUCGAGCGGAGCGGCGCACGGGUGAGUAACGCGUGAGUAACUGCCCCCCUCUCUGGGAUAACAGUUGGAAACGGCUGCUAAUACCGGAUAGUGGGGGAUGACUCGCGUCCUAUCAGCUUGUUGGUGGGGUAGUGGCCUACCAAGGCGGCGACGGGUAGCCGGCCUGAGAGGGCGAGCGGCUACAUCGGGCUAGGAUACGGCGCAAUCUCCGACUGGCGGCAACAGUGGGGAAUAUUGCACAAUGGGGGAAACCCUGAUGCAGCAACGCGCGUGCGGGAUGACGGCCUUCGGGUUGUAAACCGCUUUCAGCCAUGACGCGGUAGUUGCAGAAGAAGCACCGGCUAACUACGUGCCAGCAGCCGCGGUAAUAC